This 1807-nucleotide long non-coding RNA is filed under the name Cricetulus griseus (Chinese hamster). RNAcentral's name for it is "lncRNA (ENSCGRG00015032422.1)". Lineage: Eukaryota; Metazoa; Chordata; Mammalia; Rodentia; Cricetidae. The record is from RNAcentral.
CCGACACAUGCCAGUUUGGGGUGGGAGGAAGGGAGUCUGGGAGAGGAAUGUGGGUAGGAGUGGUCAGACUCAACGACAGCUGCUUCCAGGGAGAGCAUGCAUUCAAGCCCUCACAGGAAGCAAAGGAGUACAGGGUCCUCAGUCGAAGCCCCAAGUCCCUCCAUCCCACGGACUUUGGCGGGGCAGCCUGAGGUUAUUGAGCCUGAGGAAGUUGGGUAAUGAAGGCACUGUACUCUCCCUCCCUGACCCCAGAUCAGGGGUUACAAAGAUGAAUGACUCCAAACCCAACCUCAACCAAUUGACAGUCUACCAUGCUCUAAGUGAACUGUGAUGGCUGAAAACAAGAAGUCGGGGGAAGGUCAGUUCAAAGAGCAUGGCAGGUAGGGUGACUGUCCUCAUUUUAACUUGAAAACUCGUAUACAUCAGGAAGCCACUGCUUACCAGGCAAGCCUCAUGGUCCAUCAUGCUAGUGGUGGGACGAUCCAGGGAAGCACUCAACCUUGUCUCACCAAACCUUGGAGGGUUUGCCAAAUUUCCUUGGCCAAACUGGGGAAGACCUUCUAUUGUAGGGAUUGGAAGACUUGUGGAGAGAUGGCAGAAGGCCUUUUAUCUCAGGGAACAGAGCCACUGCCUUGCAGAAGUACCUCUCUUCUCACUCCCCCUUUUCCUGACUCCCAUUGCUUGAGGGUUCAGAUCUGGUAAGUCUUGGCAGAUACUGUUCAGAUCCCUCAAAACAAGCGGGAAAGCAGACAUAGCCAAUGCUUCUCAAGAUCCUUCCAGCUCUUCUCUCCUCAGCCAAGCCCUUGGGCUCUCUACCAGGAGAACUUGUUCUACCCACAAGAUGAAGGAUGGCCACCUCGUUCCUACAUACUUUGGCUGCCUUGGAACCAUCACAGGACUGAUUGACUUGCCUGUAUGAUAUAGCCAUCUCAACACUGGCCUGUGUGGAUGUGUUUGCUGGAUAGACACCAUUUAGUUGCCUGAGGAGAUCCAAGAUGAUUUUGUUUUUCUCCAUGAGAGAACCUCUUUCCCAGGGAGGCCACAGCCUUUUUCCGUGCUCUGAAGAACCUAGAAAACUACUUGGACUGCAUCUCUUCUGUUGUCCUCUAAGUGCUAGUCCAAUACUUCCUGUCUGAACCAGCCCCUGUGCUGUGCAGAGCCCAUUAUGGAAAGGUGAAUGAUGUUAAAUCAGGAGGACACUUGUCUAGCUUUCCAGAGCAUCUUUCCCCCACGCAAGUCACUUUGGGGAAGGUGACAUCUGAAUUCUCUGGGUCUGUAUUUCAUCUUCUAAUAGUAGACUGUUGGAGAUGCACUGGGAAAAAUAUCUUAAUGUUUGCUCUGAAGCCUCUCCCAGGAAGGAAAGGACACGGAAAGUUUUACUUUGUCAGGAUGCCUUAGAUGUGCAUGCCUUUCUGCUCUCCACCCGUCUUAUGAUAUGGUGUCCCGCGGGAUUGUCUCGCCGGCAAGAACGACACAGAACACUCGGAUCCUUCUGCAGUAAAGCUUUAAUGCGUCUUGAGAGAGAGAGCAUAAGCUUACAGAGCGGAGACCCCGAGCCAAGAAUCCCAUCCCCUAAUAAAGGCUGGCAACCGCCACCUCGGACGUGUCACCCCAUGAUUGGCUGCAGCUCAUCGGACCAUAUGACGCCACGGAAGAGGCAGAGAUCAAGGAAUGGAAAGUUACCCAGUGCCUGCGCGCACUAACUUGUUUGCAUUCGGUGCCUGCCGGAUGCAGGCGCCAUCUUGUAAUGGAGAAUGCAGGGACGGCUCCCUACAAUAUGGACCUGCAUGCUGUGCAUUCCGCUUUG